AGAACAAGAAUUUAGAAGGUAGAAUUAACACCUGAAACUGAAGCAUGUGGAAGCAUUUGGCGAAAGAAUUGCUGUUUGAAAAGAGGCUAAACUGCAGCUGGAAACUUGGCAUGGAAGCCCAAAAGCCCUGGGUCUCAAGUCUGUGUAACGUGGAGGUGGGCUGAGAUGAUUUCAACACCUUCUGCUUCAAAUUCCCAUUUGCUGGUAACUAGGAAGGCUGUGCUAUGGGAAGGUUGAAGAGGACAGCUGCAGGUGACAAGAGGUGGGGCCAGUACGGAUUAUGGUGGAAAUCUAUGUUUACCAUUAAACAGAGGCUGGAACUAGUUAACUCUGAGGAAAAGUCAGGAAGUAACCACACACUUAGUCUGCAUAGUUGUUGCGUUCAGAUUGUUUUGGAGUGAACAUAAGGCACCAAGAUUUAGUGAAUGAAAGAUGAGACAAAGAGUCAAAAUGCUGGAACUUAACAGACUCAUUUCUAUCAGUGGUCUUGGCAUGGACAAGGCACUGAAUCUCUCUAAGAGGCAGUGUCAUUAUCUAUAAAAGUGUAUCUGCCUUGUUGUCCUCAAUUCCCCAAACAUUAAUCUGUGCCAAAUGUGAUGCUAGGGACAAAGAUGAGGAAUGAGUGGCCCCUACCUUGGGGAGGCCACAGUCUUCCAGUCUCCCAAGAGACAGCAGGAGAAAUAGAAAAGGAUGAGGCAUUGACACGUACUGUGUUCCAGACUCGGUGCUUCACACAUGUGAUCUCAUUUAAAUAUUUUAUAAAGUGAUCGGGCAGGUAUUAUUAUUUCCUCUCUCAAGGAUGAAGCGAUGAAGGCUCAAAGAAGGAUUCCAAGGUCAUCAUUUGGGUAAAUGGGGAAGCCAUGUCUUGAGCCCAGGUAUGUCAUCCCUUAAAUCCCAGGAUUUUCCCAACAUCCCCCACUGUUCAGGAGAGAGAGAGAUGGGUAAAAAACUCACCUUAUAUGUUUGAAGGCCAGCAUCGAUUGGAACCCAGGGAGGAGGCAGAAAUGUUUUUUCUGAGUUUAAAAAAUGUUGACAUAUGGGGGAAGAUGAAAAAGGGCAUUUAGGAAAUUCAGGUAGUAUGAUUUGUGUGACAGUGGAUUUUCUUCAGCUGCAGACAGAAUCUGAGGGUGUGAAAUUGCAAAGGUAACCUUCUCAUCCUAUAUAGCCUUUCCCACUAAGGAGUCUGGGCACAUGCAAGCUGUGUGCAAAAGCAUCAUCUAUCCCUGGGGAGAUGAAAGGGUGGCCUUAAUGGGACAGGAGGAAAAUCAAUAAUGUAUCACUUUGGAGCAAGGAGCUGGGUGACCAAGCACAAAAUGUCAGCAGCCUGACAAGGCAAAGGCAGCCUUGGCCUGGGGCAACUGAUAUUGAUUGUAAUAAGCCCAAAACAAUUAGCUUAUGAAUCUGCCUCCCAACUACUUUGCGUUCCUUCUCAAAAUACGUACUUUUAGAUCCACAAUGAACCAUUGCCCCCUGGAAGGCUGGUUCUGCUAUUUGGAAGGACAUGAAGAGUCAUGCCACAUGGCUGUUAGCUCCUCAUCACACAGGGUUUGGCAAAAGGAAGAAGGGGUUUUAGAAUGUCUGAGGCCUACAGGAUCACAGGCAGGGUCAUACAAAUGACAAACAACAUUGUACUGGCAUUGAACUUAAAUUCUAGAGUCCUGAGUGUUAGUUCUAGAGAAGUCAUUAAUUUGACGUGUAACUUUGAGAAAGUCACUUUACCUCUCUGGGCCUGUUUCCUUGCCUUUAAAAUGAAAGGAAUAAGCUAAAAAUGUUCUUUAUAUGGCUUGUUUUGGUAGAUGCAUACUUUUGGGGUGUGUUUGUGUGUCUGCGUUUGCAUGUGUGUUCUCUCUGAGGGAUCACAACUAAGAAUCGUUGACUCUAUCCCUCCUUGGCUCAUAGAAUGUCCCUUGCACAAUUUUGUGCGUAGGAAUGUGCUGGAUGCCUGAGAUACAAUAUACACGUGAUAGUUAAUGUUAUGUGCCAAUUUGGUUGGGUAACAAGUGCACAGAUAUUUGGUCAAACAUUAUUCUAAGUGUGUCUGUGAGGGUGUUUCUGGAUGAGAUUAGCACUGGAAUCAGUAGACUGAGUGAAGUAGAUGGGCUCCCUGUGUGGGUGGGCCACAUCCAAUCACUUUAAGUCCUGAUGAGAACAUAAAAGUUGACCCCUUUUUGAGUAAAAGGGAACUCCUACUUGACUGCCUUCUGGCUGGGACGUUAUUUCUUUUUUCAGCCUUCGUACUGGCACUGCAACAUUGAACAUUCUAAUUCUCAGACCUUCAAACUCAGACUGAAACUAUACCAUUGGCUUUUCUCCAGCUUGCUAACUGCAGAUUUGGGGACUUUUCAGCCUCCAAAAUCAUGUGAGCCAACUCGUUAUAGUAAAUCACCUCUCUCUUUCUAUGUGUAUAUAGAUACACACACGUAUAUGUGUGUGUGUGUGUGUAUGUGUCUGUAUGUGCACAUGUGUAUUUUAUUGGUUCUAUUCCUCUGGAGAACCCCGAUUAAUACAAUAAAUAAGGCAACAUGUCAAGAAGUGUGUUCCCUACUUGCUUCUUGGUCUGCUGCUCUCAGAACCUUCUGUGGAACAGGAGAUGGAAUUUUGCCAUAAACAGUGGUUCCUAAACUUUGUUGCACAUAAGCGUCAGCUGGGGAGUUUAAAAAAUCUCAAUGCCAAGAUUACACCCCAGAUCAACGCAGUCAGAAUGUCUGGGGUGGGGCCCAGGCAUCAGUAUAGUUUAAAGAUUCCCAGGUCAUUCAAAUGUUCAACAAAGCUUGGGCACCACUGCCUUGAAAUAAAAUUUGAAGGUCUGAUGCAACUUUUAAUGAUUUCAGAUAUACAAUUGAACUUUGACUAAAAUAUCACGGGAAAAGCUUCAUCCUUCCAUAUAUUGAAGUGACUUCAAAUAAUGAUAAUUACCAUGGAUUGAGCACCUGUUAUAUGCCAGGCUUUAAUCUCCAUGAAGUUCAACUGUUUUAAUUUUUAACUCCUACAAAUGAGUGAGAACUUGUGAAGUUUGUCUUUCUGUGCCUGGCUUAUUUCACUUAACAUAAUGACCUCCAAUUCCAAUCAUGUUGUUGCAAAUGACAGGAUCUCAUUCUUUUUCAUGGCUGAAUAGAUUCUGAAUUCCUUCUCUGUGGUAUCUUGAAUUUCUCUGAGCUUCCUCAAAACAGCUAUUUUGAAUUCCCUGUCUGAAAGGUCACAUAUUUCUGUCAUUCAGGGAUUGGUUGCUAGUGCCUUAUUUAGUACAUUUUGUGAGGUCAUGUUUUCCUGGAUGGUCUUGAUGCUUGUGGAUGUUUGUCCAUGUCUAGGCAUUGAAGAGUUGGGUUUUUAUUGUAGUCUUUACACUUCAGGCUUGUUUGUAUCUGUCCUUUUUGGUAAAGCUUCCUAGGUAUUCAAGGGGAAUUGAGUGUUGUGAUCUAAAUCUUUGGUCAUUGCUGCCCUAUCUGCAUUAUAAGGCACCCCAAGCCUAGCAAUGCUGUGUCUCUUGCACACUUGUAGAGCUCUAACUUACAACUAACUCCUCGGAUUUACAUACAUUGUGACGUUUCAAGUACUGUGGAAACAGAUCAGGCUCACAUAGCAAAAUAAUUCUUAUUAUCUGUACUAGUAGAAAAUUUCAGCUACUGACACUCAUUGGAUAGCCUAAUAUUUUCCCUAAAUGUUUCAAUUCUUCUCUUUAAUUGGAAGCAGAAAAUCUUAGCUGAGCCCUGGAUGCCUGCAGGAUGUAAGUAGGACAUUUUUAGUAAAAUUGGUAUGCUAAGAUUAUAAACAUAGAGAACAUUUCUAGAUUACCUCAAGAAUCACAAAAACCAAGUUAAUAGUACACCACCUUAUUGAUGGGAAAACACGGAUCAUAUUUAAGUUUGGGGCUGUCAGAGGAGUCAACUAUAGUGGUAGAUCUAUGGGUUUAACAGUCAUAUAUGUUCAUAGGAAUGAUGAGCUUAAUUUUCUGCUGUUGGUAGUGUGUGUGUGUGUUAUAGGUGCACAACAUGCUCACACCCACAUAAUCAGUUAUCACUUAAUCAAUUAACUAUUGGGGCAAGCUAGUCAAAUUUAGUGGUAUGCUGGAAGCAGCAGUAGUGGCAGCUGCAUUUUGAUCUGUGCAUCCUCGCCCAAGGAAAGGAAUUUACAGCCAAUAUUGGUGCAUUAAAAUCAUCAGACACUGUAACAUUAGUUGGCUUUGUGGUAACCUUAUAAAGGAAAGGCAACCAGCGCUAAAAAGGUUUUUAAAGUAUCUAUUUGCAGUCCCCCUCCACUUUCUUAACCAUUACCUGGUAAAAUCCCUUUUUCUGCCGACACUGUUUAUCAGAUUAUGUAUCCUAUAAAAGUAAAACACUGCCCUUGCCUGGUGAGAAUAUAUUCUGUUCAUAAUCCUGGUAAGUUUACAUAAGUGGAUGCAUAAACUAUGUUCUGCACACUACAAGUGAUUUGAAUGCAUACGGGAUGAGGUAAAGAAAGGCUUUGUUUUCCUACUUAACAUACUAUUGGGAAUCUUGGAGUGGAGAGCAAUGAAGCAAAUUAUUACAUCCAUGAAUCUCAGAGAGGUCAUGGGGACUCAAGGGAGUGAAUCAUCUCAUUUAUUCAGCAGUGCGGAGUUACAAACAUCUCGAUAUCGCGAUUGUUCACGUAACUGAAGGUCGUUUCUGUGAAUGCCAAAACUUUCAAAUUUCUUACCUUUCUGAAAUAAUUUCUAAAGGUAUGCAUUGCAGACCUCCUUAUCUUCUUAAGUGUUUGCAGACAUUUGUGACAUUUUAGAAACUUAUGAUUAUUGUUUGGGGUAAAUGCCUACUGAUAUCACUUUUACGUAUAGCAGCUGCUUCAGGGGUGGACAUGGGCUGCCGUAUUUGCCCUGGGGUGCCAUUCUCUCCAGUCACAACUGGUGGAACUAGAAAUGUGUACCUGAAUCAGUCCAAUCCGACAAAUUUUUUUUUUUUUUUUGAGAAUUCAGAUUUGAGGUACAAAGACACUUAGGUAAGGAGAUGCAAGGUGAAAACUGUGUUAAGUCUUUCAAGGCUGCAGUCACACCAGGGCCAGACAAUGCCAUAUGCAAGCUGAACAGAAAGCACGGGUAAGCAGAAGAGCAGAUUAUGUAGACAAGAGAUGGUGCACAAACAAAGAGGCCGCCUUCAGGCAGGGUAACAGGGCCACGUGACCCAAAACUGAAGGACUUCCGUACAAAGAACUGCCUCUAGGGUUUUGUCUUGUUUUGUUUACCAUCAAAGAGAAUUGAUGAAAUUGUCAGGCACUUGGGAACUCCCUGACAUCCACUUCAUCUGCUACUUUAUUUCAGGCUCCUUUCCUUCCCUGAAACUAUUCACUGGGUUCCUAACACAGUCCCCACGUUCUCUAACUUGGCCUUUGUGUAUGCUUGCUAUUCCUUCUGCCUGAAAAUUUCUUUUCUUCCUCUUAGCAUGUUCCCUGUGUGCAAUUCUGCUAAUGCUUCAAGACCCAGAUAAAAUAACAUUUUCUUUAACAAGUCUUCCUUGGAUCAUCAAGCCAAGGGAAACUCUCCCUCUCUUGAAACAAUAGCAUUCUAGGUCAACCUCUGCCAUCAUUGCUGCCGCCCUCUAUCUGGUAUUAGAACAAUCCACACACAUUCAUUUCCUCUGUUAAUUCAUUACUCUCCUCUGUGAACAAGAUCUCUUUCUGAUUGUCAAUGGACUCUCCAAUACUAGUGCCUUGCACAGAACACAGCACAAAGUAGCUGUCCAUUAAAUUAUGUAUUUUUUUUAGGAGACAGGGUCUCACUAUAUUGCCCACACUAGACUCAAACUCCGGGGCUCUGGGGACCCUCCGGCCUCAGCCUCCAAGGUAGCUGGCACUAUGGGCUCCUGCCACUAUUUCUAUUACAAUGAAUGAAAGAAUGAAGAUCUAAUCAGCUACAAGAAUUCAGGAUUGGUGUUUUUGAUUUAUACUAAAUCUUGCCAUAAUUGGAUAAAAUCAUGUGCUCAGAUAUUCCUUUCUUUCCCACAGCUACCCAUCUUUGAAAUAAACUAUAUGUGUUUGUCAAGCCAUAGGGGUAACCAUUUUCCCUUUAAUCUUAUAAUAAAAAAUGAAAAAAUCCUAGCAUCAUCUGAUUUUUGAGCUGGAGCUGUCUUGCUGUUUCCAGGGUAAUCAAGUGGGUCCCGAAGGAGCUGAACACAUGGUUUAGAAGCUCCCCAGGGCUGGGGCUGAGUCCAGAGCAGGAACAGGUCAUGACGAAAAUCUGUGCUGGGUGACUUAGCAGUUAUUUCCCAUUGAUCAUUCAGAGCUCUGUUGAUGAAAGGAGCCAAAUAAAACACUUUUGAAGUGGUAGCAUUGCAAAGAGGGGGUGAAGACUGAAUAACUUUGAUUUGCCCCGUCUCUUAUUUGAUUAAAAAAGCUGGAAAGGAGGGAACAGGAAAAAAGGAAAAAAAAUAAUUAUCCCAAGCUCCCGAGCCAAUGACGUCCUUGCUCUCCCUGUGCACUAAGUGCAGCAAAGUGCAUAGCGAAUGCAUAAGCAGGAAUUUUUAAUAUGCGUGAUAUAAUUAAGUGGUGUUGGUUCACUGAUUUCCUAGCAUUAUUCUGCACAUCUCUCUCAAAGGAGCUAUCCCAGUGAAAUGAGAUUUUAAUAAAAAGAAGCUGUAUGGUAUAUUGUUGAACAUUCAGGACACUUCUGCCUUUCCCGGUGAUGCUGGGCUGAGAACACAAUCCUAUUUGAAAAUAUGAUGUUUACAUACAAAUAUAAUAUGCCAG
Molecule: long non-coding RNA, 6714 nt
Filed under: Homo sapiens (human)
Lineage: Eukaryota; Metazoa; Chordata; Mammalia; Primates; Hominidae
Description: HSALNT0298447
Source: RNAcentral